AUACGUAGGGAGCGAGCGUUGUCCGGAAUUACUGGGUGUAAAGGGAGCGUAGGCGGGGUCUUAAGUCCGUUGUGAAAUCUAUCGGCUCAACCGGUAGCUGCGGCGGAAACUGGGACUCUUGAGUGAAGUAGAGGCAGGCGGAAUUCCUAGUGUAGCGGUGAAAUGCGUAGAUAUUAGGAGGAACACCAGUGGCGAAGGCGGCCUGCUGGGCUUUUACUGACGCUGAGGCUCGAAAGUGUGGGGAGGC
This 247-nucleotide ribosomal RNA is filed under the name uncultured bacterium. RNAcentral's name for it is "partial 16S ribosomal RNA". It matches the Rfam family "Bacterial small subunit ribosomal RNA", at positions 523 to 770 of the family's 1533-position model. The record is from RNAcentral.